RNAcentral lists this long non-coding RNA (5217 nucleotides) under Hordeum vulgare. Its description in RNAcentral is "long non-coding RNA (HVUL_LNC014295)". Lineage: Eukaryota; Viridiplantae; Streptophyta; Magnoliopsida; Poales; Poaceae. The record is from RNAcentral.
CCUCGUCCGGCCUAUGAUUCGGACAUGAUAUAUUUUCUUUUAUAACUAUUUAUUUCAUUUUAUUAGUGUUUAUGAUAAUUAUGCCGACCAACGUACCGUACCAGUCGACCAAGUGCGCGCGGCACGGUGACCGCCGGCGGUGCGGGCAGGACGCGAAGGCCGCCGACGCCGCGCACACCUCGCGUGCCGCCUGCGCCUUCCCGACGGCGUCCGCCAUUGGCGUGGCCGGCCCGGUCAAUCGAUCUGUCGACGUACGACGACCGCCGAGAGGACACGCGUGUGUAUGAGUGAUCGAUCUCUCGACGAAGGGAGGUUUUUGUUGGCGUGACUUGUCCGUCUCGUGGAGUAGUGGCUGGGGAGGAGAUUGAAGCCAGAGAGGGGUGGGAAGCGGUUCCGAUGAGGACGACGAAGGAGUGGAGCCGGAAAGAGCGGUGAUUGUGAGUGCAUGCAGGUUGUGUCGGCCUGCCAGCUUUGUUUCCGAAAUCUAUAUCGCGCUCCAAAUAAAAACGCGCAAAGCCGUUUUGUUACGCACCCUGGAUCAACUAUAACGCGCGCAUGUUUUUUAUGCGUUUGCUGGAGCGUCCGGAACGCGCGCGUUUUUUAUGCGUUUGCUGGAGCGUUCAGAACGGCUGCACGUACGUAAAAAAGACUGGCGACACUAAAGUAGCGCGUCUGCUGGAGAUGCUCUACCAGAAAGAAGUAGUACAAGGGGAGCAUAAUAUUCAUCUUUUGCAUGGACUAGGAAGGGCCUCGCCCAGCUUGCACUUUAUAAAAACUUGAGUGGUAGCAUGCAUUGACAUAAAAUCAUGGAUCUUUGGGUAGUUGAAUGCAUACCUUAAUUAUAUGCUUGGUCCUUCGAUAGUUGAAUGCAUAUCUUGAUUAUAUGCUUGGUCCUCCGGUAGUUCAGAGGAUACAAGAGACAACAAUGCCAUUGAUAGCCUCCAUAAAAUUGGACAUAUCACUCCUGCUCAUGUUCGGAUUGGACAUCACCCAAUCUCGAGAUGGCAAUGCCCUGGAUGGCGUCGACCACCGCGGCAAGGGCUUGGACGUGACAUCGUCGGAGGCGGGACGUGAGGUGUCAGGGGCAUGGGACGAGAGGAGAGGGGUGAGAAAGAAAUCGUGUCGGAGGAGACGAACCCGUUUUGGGGAAGAAGAAACACAUUCAACCAUUUCUUUUAGACAGGACUGUUAGAAGUAUAAUUGGGCUUAAGUUAGAGAUAAGGAGAUAGAGAUAAAAUUAGUUUAAAUCACAUGUAACUUGUCUUGUACUCCAAGCCUCUACCCCUCAUGUACUCCUAUAUAUAUUCCCACAAGGGUUAGACAUCGAUGACACAUCGCGCGCGCGCCAGCACAUGACGCGCAGCACGCAGGGACACCAGCCAGCUGCCACACCCGCGGCGAAUCGCGCGGGGCACUGCAUGCAGCCAUGCAUGCAUGUGGUCGGCGACUCCUCUAGAGCAUGCAAAGCUUCUCGUCGAUACGUUGACGAUUCCAUUCUCCUGCGCAUCUCGUGGAGCACCGAGCCGACUCCAGCGCUUCUCGUCGGCCUCGCGUCUCUAUGACACAAGCAGAGCCCAUGUGUUCACGUCCAUGAAUGGAAUCCAGACUCCAUCUAGGCUCAGGGCUGCGUACUCGUGUACAAGAUUAAGAGGCUCCACUUGAAGGGAGUACGUCUGAUCCGCAUUGAUCCUCGACACAUCAUCAAGUUGGACAACUACAUCGAUCGUUCUGCACUGCAUCAAACCAAACUACAUCAGAUUCAUCGUCGAGCACACUACGAGAAGCAACAUCGACAUGCAUCACCCACACGCGCAGCUGUGAAUAAGUGACGCAAUUCUUCAUCGAUUUCCCCGGCGCGACACGGCAUCGACACUUGGUCGUCAUAAGGGACGCCUUCAAGCGACACAUUAUCGUUGACACGCUGCUGCGACGCCACCGCCGACACUUCAUCGCCAAGGUCUUCACCAACAUCUUCGUCAACACGCCGCUGCCCCUCGUCCACAAGAUGGACACCUAGCGUCCUCUGACAAAUUUUUCUGCAAGGCGCGACCCCGACGACGGCAAUGACCGCGUUACGACGACGACAUCAACCGCGUCAUUCACGACUGCAUCGACAUGGCGUCACUACAGUGACGACCCCUACACGGCCUCACGGUUCUGGCAAAAUCGAUGUGUGCUCGAUGGGUUUCCUCCGGUCCUGGCAAAACCGGCGGACUCAUCGCCGACGGCACCCUCUGACAUCCGCAAGGUGCAUCGUCCACGUCUGCAGCUCCGUCAUAGCGUAUUUUUUUGCGCCUCCGGCUUCGUGCGGCUUCAUCAUCCACGACGAUCACACAUCGACCACGACUACCUCGACCACGGCUGCAUCAUCAUGAUCGGCUACCUCCACAUCGACAUUAAUGGCUUGGUCUACAGCAACUCAUCGGCAACAACUCCAGUCAACAGCGUCCGCGUCGUCACUAGCGUCCACGCCACUCCCGGUGUGACCGCGGGAGGGAAUAGAGGAGAGACAAGGAAGGCACCAGAAGGGGACGCAGUCACCACCCUAGGUGCCGACCCAUCAGAGACGCAGUUGAUGAUGACGCGGUGGAGAAGAUGACAAAGGCGCAUGACUUCAAAUUCAGUCGCAAGCGUCCACUUCACUCCCGCUACGACUGAGGGGUAAUGUUAGAAGUAUUAUUGGGUUUAAGUUAGAGAUAAGCAGAUAGAGAUAUAAUUAGUUUAAGCCACAUGUAACUUGUCUUGUACUCCAAGCCUCUACCCCUCAUGUACUCCUAUACAUAUAUCCCUACAAGGGUUAGAUCAAUACAACACAACAACACACAAUACUCAACCAUUAUAAAAUUUCCACAAGGAUAGUCCACGAAAUUCGACUGACAAUAAAAUAUGAUUUCAUCCAUCCAACGUAUAUGUUGCCCCUUUCUUUUUAAGAAUAAAAACUAAAAAUAUGAUUUCAUCCAUCCAACGUAUAUUUUGCCCCUUUCUUUUUAAGAAUAAAAACUACUCCAUUCUAUUCAUAAAGCCGCAUUGAUCAGAGGGAGUAUUAAACUUUUGACCUCUGUAUUAAGAUCAUGCACCUACCCAACACACAAAACUGACUAGUAUUAGUUUCUCUAAAGGCCCGGUUGAUUUUCAUUCCCGAGAAGCUAAGUAGAGCCAACCACUACAAGAAAUAUAUUAAUUUGUGACCUUCUAGCAGUGAUCCCGUUUUCGAAAGCAGGCCAUCGCAUUCCUUUUUUUGCACACGAAAUCAAGAUCUACCCGACCAAGCUAGCGCACUUCAUUACUAGAAAAACAACUAUAGCUAAUAUGAACACUAAUGACGCACUAUACAUGUGGUGCGUCAUUGCUAAAUAGUAAUAACACAUCAUGUGUAGGUUCGUCAUUAGUAACUAAAAUAGUAAUGACGCACUAGGUGAAAUGUGUAGUUUGGCUGAACUAGAUAUGACUGAGCGCAUCUAUCUAAAAAAAAAAAAGAUCUGAGCGCAUCAUCACCACCAGGGGCGCUACGUCCUUGCGGCGCGCUCCGGCGCGGUCCUGACCAGGUACACCGGCGACUCGCAGCUGCCGUCUCUGCACCAGCCCUGGCCGGCGCCCGAUUCCGUCGUCCUCGAAAGGCCGGCACCCGGCGAACGGCGGCGGUGGCCGGGCGUGCGGGUAGUCCGGGAAGCGCUGCCGGUCGGACGGGUCGAAGAGCGGGAACGACUGGCGCCUGCGCGCGCCGGCGGCGUUGGCGCGCAGGAAGCCGUCGAUGACCCGGCACUCGUCCCGCAGUCGGUUCUGCACCUCCCGCAGCGCCGACUGCGUCGUCGGCGCGGGCGGCCUCCUGCCGCCGCCGCCGCCCUGCUGCUUCGCGACGGAGCCACGUGCCUUGCCGUGCUGCUGCUGCUGCGCGGACGACGCUGGUGUCGGCGUCCUCAUCCUGUCGCUGGCGCGGCGUCUGGCCCUGAGCCGGUCGUGGCAUGCCGUGCAGAAGGCCGUGGCGUGCUCAUCGUCGAAGGCCCUCCGGCGCGCCUUGUCCGUCAUGCACGCGUGCGCCUGCGAAACGAAAUGCAGGGCAGACCACGUUAGUGCGCUACUGUAUGAGUAACAUUGCCAUCACGUGUAAACUAUUUUUUUUUAGAAUACUACUCUGUAUUAAUUAAUUAUUAACGUUAGUGCGCAUUCGCGUGCAGUUAGUUGGCCUAAACAGCUCGAAUUCGAAGUGGCCACGAUCAAGUAACCGUAACUGACGGAUGAAGGUACUAGCAAAGAAACAGCCAAUCUCUUCCAUAGGCAACAACCUAGCUACUGACGGAGGGAGAACUUGUUGGUAGGAGUAUAAACUAGGAAUGUCAGAACGGCAGCAACAACAAUAUAAAAAGGCAAAGAGAUUCCAAGUGAACCGCAAGAUCAUGAUUAAAAGGGACACGUACCCAACGGCUUGCGCGAGCACGCGGAGCGAGUAGAUGAUCAAUCGAGUGUAAAUUACCUCGGAGACGAGCUUGAAGGCGACCUCCGCCUUGGGAUGCCCGUUCUUGUCCGGGUGCAGCUGCAGCGCUGGCCACGAAUCAAUCCAGAAAAAUUACCAUCAGUGUACGGGGGUACGAUCAGUAAUUAAACGCAGCCAUCAACCGUGUGGCGUGACGUAUUGGUACCGAGGUGCCGGUAGCGCCGCUUGAUGGCGUCCUCCGACGCGGCCUCGCCGAUCUGCCACCGGUUCCCGACAUGGAGGAGUUAAUUAACACGAUGGCGAAGACAGAGGCGCAACGAGGAGGAAGAAGGACGUGCACUGCAUUGGUAUGUACGUACGGCGAGGACGAGGUACCAGUCGACCAAUUUCGCGCGGCGCGGUGACCGGCGGCGGUGCGGGAAGGACGUGAAGGCCGCCGACGCCGCGCACACCUCGCGUGCCGCCUGCGCCUUCCCGGCCGCGUCCGCCAUUGGCGUGGCCGGCCCGGUCGAUCGAUCUGUCGACGUACGGCGACCGCCGCGAGGACGCGCGUGUGUAUGAGUGAUCGAUCUCCGGUGAAGCAGUCUGUCUGCGUGAACAAGGUGUCGGAGGACGAAGAGAGGUUUUUGUUGGCAAUGUGGCACUCCACGCUGGAAGGUGCAGGCCGCUACAGUUCGAGUCAAGGAUGGGAUCCAAGCACCCGAUGAUGACUCACUGAUCGUAGCAGUAGAAACUUGGUGAGACAGCAGCCGGCGAUUUCCUCGUCGGCGUUGCUUCUUGUGAAC